CCUACGGUGGGCAGCAGUGGGGAAUAUUGCACAAUGGGGGAAACCCUGAUGCAGCGACGCCGCGUGAAGGAAGAAGUAUUUCGGUAUGUAAACUUCUAUCAGCAGGGAAGAAAAUGACGGUACCUGACUAAGAAGCCCCGGCUAACUACGUGCCAGCAGCCGCGGUAAUACGUAGGGGGCAAGCGUUAUCCGGAUUUACUGGGUGUAAAGGGAGCGUAGGCGGCGAGGCAAGUAAGAAGUGAAAGCCCGGGGCUCAACUCCGGGACUGCAUUUGAAACUGGGUUGCUGGAUGGCAGGCGAGGUAAGUGGAAUUCGUGGUGUAGCGGUGAAAUGCGUAGAUAUUAGGAAGAACGCC
Molecule: ribosomal RNA, 355 nt
Filed under: uncultured bacterium
Lineage: Bacteria
Description: partial 16S ribosomal RNA
Rfam family: Bacterial small subunit ribosomal RNA
Source: RNAcentral